CUGAGCACCAAUGGAAAAACUGUAAAAUUCCUUCCAGCUCUUCAUUUCUGUAAUUCUUUGCUUUGUUCCCAUCCCUGAAUGCCUGGAAGAUGUAAGAUAGUAAAAGAGAAUACUUUAUUGAACAAAGAUGCAGGUGUUAUUUAAUUUCGUUAUGUUUAAUUUAGAGUCUGCUCUUAAUGCUGUCUUAAUGGUGAAAUCAUCGUGCAUCAACAUGCUCUAAGCAGGGUUCUGGUACUUUCUGGGGAAAUUGGGUUGAGGUGCUAUUAUCACUAUUACUAUUCUUUUGAUGAUUAUUUCUCUCUUUUGUGUCCUUUCCGGGAUCCUGCUCCUUCUGUGGAUUAACAAGACAGCAUGUAGAAUCACAGCUCUUGUUUCAUGAAGUUUGUUAAGUAAUUUGAACAAAGGUGUGUUACACUAUUCCUUUUGUACAACCAGUUUAAUGUUUGCAAAAGAACUCAAGAUUUAAAAAACAAAUCUGUUGUGUCCACUCCAGUUUCCAGGUAAAUUUAUAUCAGGAAUCACAUGAGGAUACUUAAGACUGGCCGGUACUUUCAAGUUUUCUCCUGCCCAGAUCUGUUUGGAAGAAAUCUAGUCUUAUCUACCUCAAAAGUCCAGCAGAGAAUAAUAGCUGAAAUAAAUGAAGCCUGUGAUUACUUAGUUCUGUGUUUACCUAGACAUUCUGGCAUUUGGCUCAAAAGACAAAGCUUUUUAGAUGUGCUAUUUGAACCUGGUUUUGCUAUAGAUUUUAAAUUGGAAGAAAAAAUGGUAACAAAGUGAAGCUCUCUAAAUCAUACACAUUUGGGCUGACUACCAAGCUCGUCUCACCCAGCAGUACUAAUAGAAUGUGAAAAAUGCUUUCCAGAGAUGAGGUCUGCCACCUAGCAACCGCUUUGAAAUGCCUCCUGCACUGACCCAAGGCUACUCAAAAUGCCCAGUUUUGAAAUUGGUGGGACAUUUUGCUGUGUAUGGGCCACAGUCAUUGAAAGGAGGAUUAGAACUUUGUUUUUCAGGCCAAAGACAUGCAGAUUAGAAGGAUUGUUUAAUUUAACUGCUCAACUGGUUUGGAAAUAGAACUGGCAGAUUAAAUAUAGAUGAAAGAUGAUUACAUCGGAUAUACGCUAAAAAAAAAUCACUCAUUGUUUAUCUGAAAUUGAAAUUGAACUAAGCAUCCCGUAUUUUUAUUUGUUAAAACUGGCAAUCAAAUUUUGGAGAGACUUUUUUAGUACAGAGGUGAGGGAUAUUUGUAAAAUAUGCACUGUAAAUAUUAACUUGAUCCCCCAAGGCUCAUAACGUUGUAGACCUAGACACCUUUCUCAGAGCACUGGCUUGUGCCUGUGAAGAAGCCUGAAGCAUAGGAGACCAAAGGUGUGGGUAGGGCAGAAACUAACUAACAGAAGACAAGAAAUUGCUUCAAGUUUGCACUCAGGAAAGCUAUGCUGAAUGUAGGACAGGCAAACGAAGGGGUUGAGCACAGAAGGGCAGUGACAUCCCCCAGGCAGAAUGGUGGGUGGUGAGGAGAGGGAAGUGCCCAGAAAUGAGAAGGAAGUGGACGUGGCACGACAUCAGCAGUCAUUUUAUAUUUGGGGGAGAAGGGGUGAAGUGAAGCCAGCUACAUCAAUGUUCACUGUGAAGCCUGGGCUGAGGUGGGAGGGGUGUAGCCUGGGAUCCACUGGAGGGCAUUGCCACCUUCAUGCGGCAUCCCAGCAAUUCUCAGGCUGCUUGCACCAGCAAGGGAGCCAGCCUGGGAGUACAGAGGCUUUUUCAGGGACCCCCUUUCAGCUUCACCUGGCUCAGUUCUGAGCUUAUCAUUUUGUUAUCAGAGCCUCCUAUCCCCCAAAUCUGUAGCCUCCACUCACAAAAUUAACCUAGCAGUACAGAACAGUUAAAACAUAGAACCACGUACAUAAUCCCUAUGUGUUUGUGCAUAAUUCAAUACCUUCUGAAGAACACACAAGAAGCUGCUAACUGUGGCUGCGGCAGUAGAUGGCGAGUGGGUUGGAGGAGGUAGAUCCUGGAUGAAAGCAAGAUAUAUUUAUUCCAUAUAUCGUACAUGCUCAUCUAUUUAUUUUUCCUUGUGUAUGUAUUACUGACUCAAAAUGAAAUUUAAAUAUAAUUACUAUAGACAAAGCCAGCCCAGAAUCUGACUCACAUUUAAACUACUUGCAUCAUUGAUUUAAGGUGGCUCAUUACACUAAGGUGUUUUAAAAUAAAUAUUUUAUAUGGUUUUGUAUUAUUUAUAUGUUUGAGAGGCCUGGGGUCUGACAUUUUAGUGUGCUUUCUGGAAAAUUUGCUGCUGAAAUAAGGGAAAAAUCAAUAGCAACCCUGGACAAAAAGCUUUUGCUUAUCUUUUCAAGUAUUUACUCUGAGUUCUGUGCCAUGUUGGUUUUAUAUAUAGAUAUUUAAAAGUGCAAAAUGAAAGUUUGAUAGAAACCAAAGUCUUUUAUAGCAUUUUUUCUAAAUAAAAGCUAUAUGGAGUCCUCCUGUGUAAAUUCCAUUAGGCCAGGAGUCUCUGCCUCUUUUGUUCAGUAAUGGAUCUCUAGGACCUAAAGCCUUUCUUGGCAUAUAUUAGGUGCUCAGUAAAUAUUUGUUGAAUGAAGGAAUACAUAAUCAUUAUAAAAAUCCAAGCACUACAGAAAAAUAUGCCAUGGAACAUGUAAUCUUUUCUAAUGCCUUUCCUCCAAAUAAUCAUUACCCUAGUCUCUUAAAAUGAAAGAACAAAUCAUUUUCUGAGGUGUAAAAUUUCAUUAUAAAUAUAUUUUUUAAAAAUAAUUAUCAGCAGUUCGAGACCAGCCAAGCCAAUACAGUGAAACCUCAUCUCUACUAAAAAAUACAAAAAUUAGCCGGACAUGGUGGUGUGUGCCUGUAGUCCCAGCUACUCAGGAGGCUGAGGCAGGAAAAUCGCUUGAACCUGGGAGGUGGAGGUUGCAGUGAGCCGAGGUCGCGCCACUGCAUUCCAGCCUGGGCAACAGCAUGACACUCCCGUCUCAAAAAAUUAUAAUAAUAAUAAUUAAAUGGCACCAUAAAGAAUAAAAAGACAAGCAACAGAAUGGGACAAAAUGUUUGCGAAAGACUAGUAUUUAAAAUUACGUGAAGAACUCAUUACAAUCAAUUAGAAAAACGGACAAAACACUUGAGUACACACUUCAGAUAUGUUCCUGACCCUUCCUUCUUGAAGGGACAGCUGUGUAACCAUUCAACCAUCUGGCCAUCAGUUUCCACAUCUGUGAAAUCAACUUCUGCCUCAUGGAGCCGUGAGUUCCCAAGCAGUGAAGGCAGUGAGGGGCUGUGGUGUGAUCCAGGAGGCUGAGAAUUAUGCAGUGGGUGCUGUCACCUUGAAGACAUCAGCGUGAUCAGGCAGAUCAUCAUGGUACUGCAUUUCCUGGACACGAUCUUAAUUUUCUUAAUACCUCCACCGACAUUUCAAAUAGCGUCUCUAAUGCCCCAGAGACUUUUAUGCCCCUAAGGUAGUUUUCUUUCUUUUGUGAAGCAGAAGAAGGGAAAUUGUUAAAGGGAAUAUUUUAACUAAAUUUAUUUCCAUAAAACUAUCUUUGUCUUUAUAUCUCAUGGAAAGUGUUAGGUAGCCUCAGGAUUAUAUCUCCGUUGGAAAACUGUAGAUGUAAACCUUCUUGCUAUCUACAUACUUACAUAUUUUUCUGUUGUUAUUUACUUAUGAAUAGCAUUUUGAUUAUAGCAGAAAUAAAAUACAUUAAAUGACUAAGCUCAGAAAUAAGAAAAAAAGGUCAAUGGUGAUCAUUUAUUUGGAAACUAUGAUAUUUUAAUGAUAUUAAUGGUGUAAUUGACAUUUAGUUAAACAUAUUUCAUCGUAAGUAGAGCACUUUAACUCUUACGGUCCACUUAAAAUGUAAUCAUACGUUUAUGUAUUUCUAGUUAAUGUAUCAAACUCAACUGAGUAAUCAAUGUACAUCAUUUAUUUUGCUCCUAAGUUAAUACACUAAGUUAUGCUUUAAAAUUACUAAUUUGCUGCAAUAUCCAAUACUCUCUUUUAAGUCUUACGUCUGCAGAAAAGGAUAUAAACAUUUCAUGACACCAAACCCAAGUAUUUUUGAUGCCCUUGGCAGUGUCAGUUGAACAGACAGUGUCAUUUAAUGUUUGAGACAGCAUCUGAAUUCCUUUUAUUCUUAAAAUUCUAUUUUAAAAUGCAGUUUUUGGAAAGUUAAUGUGAAUAGAAAAAUUUCUAACAUUUUAUGUGCAUGUGUUUUGUUUGUUACAGGCUUAGCAUCUCAAAUCUGAAAAUUCGAAAUCUGAAAUGUUUCUAAAAUUCAACUCUUUUGAGUGCUGAUAUGACUUUCAAAGGAAAAGCUCAUUGGAGCAUUUCAGAUUUUGGAUUUUUGGAUUUGGGAUGUUUAACCAGGGUAAAAUAUAGAAUGCAAAUAUUCCAAAAUCUGAAUAAAAUUGAAAUCUGAAAUGCUUAUGGUUCCAAGCAUUUUGGAUAAGGGAUAAUUAAGCUGUAUAACUUAUAAAACUGAAUAUAACAAAAUUUCCCAACAUGUGGAAAAUGAUGUCUUUUUUCAAAAAUGUCAAUAGCAGAUACAUGGUACAGUAAGUUAGGGGAAAAAAUGAGGUUUCAUAUCUUCUAGUUUCCUAAUUAAAAGGAGCCCAUUCUGGGUUGGAAGAAAGUGUCAGUAAGAUCAUUUCUCCUAUUUGAAAAUCAUACAAAGCUUGUCAGAGUGACUCAGGCCAGGAGUGUAGCUGGGCGUGUAGCUAAAUGAUAUCUCCCCACAUCUAUAUAAUAAGCUGUUACCUGCUUUAAAAGGAAAAGCUCUCAGCAUGACUCUAAUGUUGCAUUUCUGGAAUACAGCUUGAAAAGCUCUUCUCAGGGUUGAACAGAGCAUGAAGGUAAUGGUUAUUAUCUACUCACAUUAAAAAAAAAAAAAAAGAAAGAAACCACCACAGAAAACUACUUACUGUCUUUAGGCUCUACUUUCAAAAGUGCCCUUUAUGAACGCUUUUACACUGUUGAUGGGAGUGUAAAUUAGUUCAACCAUUGUGGAAGACAGUGUGGUGAUUCCUCAAGGAUCUAGAAUCAGAAAUACCAUUUGACCCAGCAAUCCCAUUACUGGGUAUAUACCCAAAGGAUUAUAAAUCAUUCUAUUAUAAAGACACAUGCACACGUAUGUUUAUUGCAGCACUGUUCACAAUAGCAAAGACUUGGAACCAACCCAAAUGCCCAUCAAUGAUAGACUGGAUAAAGAAAUUGUGGCACAUACACACCAUGGAAUACUAUGCAGCCAUAAUAAAAGAUGAGUUCAUGUCCUUUGCAAGGACAUGGACAAAGCUGGAAACCAUCAUUCUCAGCAAACAAGAACAGAAAAUCAAACACUGCAUGUUCUCAGUCUAAGUGGGAGCUGAACAAUGAGAAAACAUGGACACAGAGA
Molecule: long non-coding RNA, 5396 nt
Filed under: Homo sapiens (human)
Lineage: Eukaryota; Metazoa; Chordata; Mammalia; Primates; Hominidae
Description: HSALNT0315488
Source: RNAcentral